RNAcentral lists this ribosomal RNA (253 nucleotides) under uncultured bacterium. Its description in RNAcentral is "partial 16S ribosomal RNA". It matches the Rfam family "Bacterial small subunit ribosomal RNA", at positions 524 to 776 of the family's 1533-position model. The record is from RNAcentral.
GACGUAGGGCGCGAGCGUUGUCCGGAUUUAUUGGGCGUAAAGAGAUCGUAGGCGGCUUGUCGCGUCGACUGUGAAAUUCCGAGGCUCAACUUCGGGCUUGCAGUCGAUACGGGCAGGCUAGAGUUCGGUAGGGGAGACUGGAAUUCCCGGUGUAGCGGUGAAAUGCGCAGAUAUCAGGAGGAACACCGAUGGCGAAGGCAGGUCUCUGGGCCGAUACUGACGCUGAGGAGCGAAAGCGUGGGGAGCGAACAGG